RNAcentral lists this ribosomal RNA (301 nucleotides) under uncultured bacterium. RNAcentral's name for it is "partial 16S ribosomal RNA". It matches the Rfam family "Bacterial small subunit ribosomal RNA", at positions 509 to 807 of the family's 1533-position model. The record is from RNAcentral.
CAGUCGCCGCGGGAAUACGGAGGGUGCAAGCGUUAAUCGGAAUUACUGGGCGUAAAGCGCACGCAGGCGGUUUGUUAAGUCAGAUGUGAAAUCCCCGAGCUUAACUUGGGAACUGCAUUUGAAACUGGCAAGCUAGAGUCUUGUAGAGGGGGGUAGAAUUCCAGGUGUAGCGGUGAAAUGCGUAGAGAUCUGGAGGAAUACCGGUGGCGAAGGCGGCCCCCUGGACAAAGACUGACGCUCAGGUGCGAAAGCGUGGGGAGCAAACAUGAUUAGAUACCCCUGUAGUCCCUGUCUCUUAUAC